RNAcentral lists this small RNA (28 nucleotides) under Bombyx mori (domestic silkworm). RNAcentral's name for it is "ovarian small RNA-13596". Lineage: Eukaryota; Metazoa; Arthropoda; Insecta; Lepidoptera; Bombycidae. The record is from RNAcentral.
CCAUCUUUGAUCUUCGGCCCGGAACACC